CAGUAGCCGCGGUAAUACCAGCAGCCCAAGUGGUGGUCGCGUUUAUUGGGCCUAAAGCGCUCGUAGCCUGACCGGUAAGUUCCCCGUGAAAUCGGGUCGCCCAACGAUUCGGCUUGCGGGGAAUACUGUCGGUCUUGGGGCCGGGAGACGCCGAGGGUACUCCGGGGGUAGCGGUGAAAUGCUGUAAUCCUCGGGGGACUACCAGUGGCGAAGGCGCUCGGCGAUAACGGGCCUGACGGUGAGGGGCGAAAGCUGGGGGCGCGAACGGGAUUAGAUACCCCAGUAGUCCCUGUCUCUUAUU
RNAcentral lists this ribosomal RNA (301 nucleotides) under uncultured bacterium. RNAcentral describes it as "partial 16S ribosomal RNA". It matches the Rfam family "Archaeal small subunit ribosomal RNA", at positions 459 to 759 of the family's 1478-position model. The record is from RNAcentral.